RNAcentral lists this transfer RNA (72 nucleotides) under Ministeria vibrans. RNAcentral describes it as "tRNA-Val". It matches the Rfam family "tRNA". Rfam says of the family: Transfer RNA (tRNA) molecules are approximately 80 nucleotides in length. Their secondary structure includes four short double-helical elements and three loops (D, anti-codon, and T loops). Further hydrogen bonds mediate the characteristic L-shaped molecular structure. tRNAs have two regions of fundamental functional importance: the anti-codon, which is responsible for specific mRNA codon recognition, and the 3' end, to which the tRNAs corresponding amino acid is attached (by aminoacyl-tRNA synthetases). tRNAs cope with the degeneracy of the genetic code in two manners: having more than one tRNA (with a specific anti-codon) for a particular amino acid; and 'wobble' base-pairing, i.e. permitting non-standard base-pairing at the 3rd anti-codon position. Lineage: Eukaryota; Filasterea; Ministeriida; Ministeriidae. The record is from RNAcentral.
GUAGAUGUAUCUUAAAGGUAAAGAAUUAUAUUUACAUUGUAAAAGAUAUUGGUUCAAAUCCAAUCAUCUACU